GUUUGCCUCCCCGCAUUAUAAACAACACAGUUAUAAAUAUCUUUGCACAUACACCUUAGCAAAAAUAUGUUUAUUUUCCUUAAAAAAGUAAAGUAGAAUUGUUUGGUCAAAGGUUAGACCUUUUUUGUGAUACUGAAGAUUGAACCUAUUUAUUGAUAUUAGUAUUAGUGUGUGCUUUUAAUGAUAUCUGUGUUGACGAACUGGCACAUACAUAUAACAAAUCUUGGUCCUUUCCAAUCUUCUUACCUUCCCUCCUUGUCUCCUCCCACUCCCUGAUCCCUUUCCCCAUCUCCAAAAAGUCUGCCUUCUUAUUUCCCACCAUCACUUCUUUAUUAUACCCAUUCAUGUAUUUAUUUACUCAUAUUUUAGAUUUCUCAUAUGAGAGAAAGCAUGCAAUAUUUAACUUGCAGUGUCUAAUUUUGCUUCAUUUUCUGUUCUCAAAUCCCACCCUUUUUCCUACAAAUAACAUGAUUUUGUUCUUCAUGGGUAAAUGAUGUCCCACUGUGUAUAUAUGCCACACCACAUUUUCUUUAUCCACUCAUCUGUUGCCUGGCAUCUAGGCUGUUUCCAGAGCUUAGCUAUUGUGAAUUGAUCUGCUAUAAAAAUUAGUAAACAUGUAUCUCUGAGCAUAAUGUGCUUAAUUCUUUUGGUAAGAUACCCAGGAGAGGUAUUGCUGGGUCAAAUCGAAUUUCUAUUUUUAGUUUUUUGAGGAAUCUCCACACUGAGUCUCUUGUGCUUGCACAGUGGUUACAUUAGAUUACAUUCCCACCACCAAUGUAGAGGAUUUCCUUUCUCCCCAUAUCCUCGCCAAGAUUUAUUGCGUUUGUGUUCUCGAUGAUAGGAUUUUGACCAGGGUAAGGAGGAAUCUCAGAAUUGUUUUGAUUUGUAUUUCCCUAAUGGAUAACGAUGAUGGACAUUUUUCCAUGUACCUGCUGGCCAUUUAUACUUCUUUUGAGACAUGUCUAUUCAGUGCAUUUGCCCAUUUUUUGAUUGGGUCAUUUGUUUUUCGGGGUUAAUUUUUUGAGUUAUUUAUAUUGUCUAGAUUUUACCAGAGGAGUAACUUGUAAUUUUUUCCCAUUCUGUAGGUUGUCUUUUCACUCUGUUGACUGUUUCCUUUGUUGUGCAGAAGCCUUUUAAUUUGAUGUAAUCUCAUUUGUUGACUCUUGAUAUUACUUCCUGUGCUAUUGGAGUUUUCUGUUAAGAAAGUCUUUGCCUGUGCCUAUGGCUUCAAUUUUUUCCCCUUUAUCUUUCAGCAGUUUCAGAGUUUCUGUUUUUAUAUCUAGGUCUAUGAUCGAUUUUGAUUUUAUUUUAAUACAGGAUGAGAGACUGGGAUCUAGUUUCUUUUUUUUUUCUUUUGGGUAACGGGGAUUGAACUCAAGACCUUGCGCUUGCAAGGCAGGUGGCAGAACCACUAAGCUAAAUCCCCGGCCCCGGGAUCUAGUUUCUUGUCUUUCCUUUUUUUUGUGCUGGGGAUCGAACUCGGGACCUUGUGCUUGUGAGGCAGGCAGCGGAACCACUGAGCUAAAUCACUGGCCCCCAGGGAUCUAAUUUCAAUCUUCUGCAUGUAGGUAAGUUGUUUUCCCAGCACCAUUUAUUUUAUUUUAUUUUUUUGGUCCUGGGGAUCGAACUCACAACCUUGUGCUUGGGAGCCAGGUGUGGUGCCACUGAGCUACAUCCCUGGCCCUACCAUUGGUUUGUUUUGAGACAGUCUUGCUAUGUACUUUAGGCUGGUCUUGAACUCCCUAUGUAGCCCAGGCUGGCCUGGAAUUCAUGGUGAUCCUCCUGUCUCAGCCUCCCAAGUGCUGGGCAUGCUCCACCAUGCCUGGGUUCAGCACCAUUUGCUAAAGAGGAUGUCUUUUCUGCAGCAUAUGGUUUUGGCCCUUUGUCAAAAAUUGUUGGUGGUAGGUGUAUGAGGGUGUUUCUGUAUCUUUUUUUUUGGUACUAGGGAUUGAACUUUGGAUCUUGUGCUUGUGAGGCAGGCAUCGGCACCACUGAGCUAAAUCCCCAGUGUGUUUCUGUAUUUUCUGUUCUAUUCCACUGGUCUACAUGUCUACUUUUGGGCCAGGAGCAUGUUGUUUUUCUUACUAUAGCUUUGUAGUACAACUUUAAAUCUGGUAUUACGAUGUCUCCAACUUUUAUUUUUUUCUCAGGAUUGCUUUGGUUAUUCUCGGUCUCUUCUGGUUUCAUAUGAAUUUUAGAAUUGUUUUUGGUAGUUCUGUAAAGAAUGUUGUUUAUAUUUUAACAGGGAUUGUAUAAAUCUAUAGAGCACUUGGUAAUAUGGCCAUUUUAGCAAUGUUAAUUCUGGCUAUCCAACAACCCAUUUUCUUUCUUUCUUUUUUUUUUUUUGGUACCAGGGAUCGAACUCAGGUCCUUGUGCUUGCUCAGCAGGCGGCAAAACCACUGAGCUAAAUCCCCGGCCCGAUGUGUUCCCAUUUUCUACUGUCUUCAAUUUUUUUUUUUUCUGGCACCGGGAAUCAAACUCAGGACCUUGUGCUUGCCAGGCCUUGGCAGCGCCACUGAGCUAUAUCCCGGCCCAAUAUAUAUGUUUAUUUCACAUAUUGUUCUACCCCCACCCCUUCCGGGGGACGAACUCAGGACCUUGUGCUUGCCAGGCAGGCGCCACACCACUGAGCUACAUCCCUGGCACUUUCUUCAAAGAUCUGUAAUUUUCAUUACACACACCUUUUACCUCCUUGGUUAGGAUGAUUCCUUGGUAUUUUUAGUCUUUUUUAAACUAUUGUAGUCUAAUACAGGACAUAUAAUUUAUAGGAUUAUUUUAUAAUAUUCACCCAGAAAAUGAAAUGUGGAGGAGUACAAGAGAUCUGUACACACACUAGAAACCCAAAGAAUCCAGCCGAUGGCCUGGAUCCCACAGCAGUGGCCCAGCUAAAGGCCUAGAGCCCACGGCAGUGUCUCAUGCUUGUCCAUAUCAGAGAUCUGUACCGGCAAGCCACAAAGGCCACUGGAAGCUAGAAAGCCUGAACUGGUGAGGUGAAGGAUCAGUGCCACCAGGCUGAGGGAUCUGCACUGGAGCCAGGAAGUGAUUCUCCAGGUAAAGACCAGAGCUCUCCUGCUGAGAACAGUAGCCAUUCCCAGCGCCAGCGAGACCCCAAGCACCUCCUUCUAUGAGAGCAGCCAAGUUUGCAUCAGGAAAACCAGCCACGGUAAGCUCCCCACCCUGCCCCGUGCCCCAAAAAUCAACAGCACACGAUCUUCCCCUCCAGUUCUUUUUCUGCCAUUGGCAACAAUCCUCAGGUGGGUCUUGCACACCCAGAACCACCCUGAUUCAGUUCAGCUGAGCAUUCCAACUUGACCGUUAGUUAAUCCACCACAACUAUCAUGAACAGAAAUGAAUUCCUGAUUUCUUUCUUGAUGGAUUCAUUAUUGGUGUAUAGAAACACUAUUUGUAUGUUGAUUUUGUAUCCUGGCAUUUUGCUGAAUUUGUUUAUCAGGUCUAAAACUCCUCUACUAGAGUUUUUUUGGGGGGUCUUCUAUGUAAAUAAUUAUAUCAUCUGCAAAGAGGAAUUGUUUAACUUGCUUUCCUAUUCGUACCCCUUUUAUUGCUUUCUCUUAAACCUGCUUGCUCUCACUGAAGUUUCCAGUACACAAACACUGAGGAGGACUGUCGAGAGUGGACACUGUAGGAACCAGCCUAUGAGCUUGAACCUGACCAAGGGGUGACGAGGAUGAAAAAUAAGGAGACGCAGGGCUGGGGAUUUAGCUCAGUGGUUUCGCCGCCUGAUGUGCAAGCAAAAGGAUCUGGGUUCAAUCCCUGGCACCAAAAAAAAAAGGAGACACAGAAACAGGUUAAAAUUUGGAGUGCCAGGAGGCUCAUGUCUCCCCUCCACAUAGAGCCCCAAGUGCCUGGUGCAUGUUGGCUUUAUUCGCUCAACUCAGUCAGAGCCAUUAGAGUUCCACAGGCCGCAUCUGUCUGUCUCCGCCCUCCACGGUGCUUCUCCGGGUGAACACCUCAACCUCAGGUGUUCUUACUUCCCCUGCAGCGUGUGAGCACGCUCACACGCCCUCUCUCUCCUCAGGGAUCUCCGAGCAGGCCAGUUAGGCCUCCUUCUUCCCAUCUGGUCUCCACAGGACACCCGCUCCUCUUUCAUUUAAGAAAAAGCUUUGUUUUCUCCACUUAAUAUGACAUUGGCUGUGGGUCUGUCAUAGUUUGUACAGAAGAAUCCUAUGCUUGAAAGAUUCUAAUAAAUUCAAACAAAAACAACCCUAGAUCCUCUCUGCCAAGGCUGCUGUGGCUUCAGAGUGCUAGGCAGGGGGCCUGGAGGGAACCAGGAAAGAGGAGCAGGACGCUGUCCUGUGGGCCCACACUGGGCUUUCCCAAGGCUGCAAACUCUGGCACCUGAAGAAAAGAAAGGACAGUAAAUGAUUAAACAGCGCUGGGGGAUGGCCUUUGAGGUGAGGAAGGCAACAUCUGCAGGGAGCUCCUCAGAGGAACCCCAGCCGGCUGCAGGCCGCAGGCAGACGGUGGCAGCACGGCCUCCAGCAGGGGCAUUGUCCACUCAGGCAUGUCCUUCUCACUCAGCCUGCUAAUGCUUCUAUGCUGGCAGAGGCCCCAGUGUUUUUUCCAUCUCUUCUCAAAACCUUAUAUAAACCAUUCACUCAUUUUCAUUGAUUCGGCUGGAUUAAUUUGAUACCUAUGUAGCAG
Heterocephalus glaber (naked mole-rat) is the source of this 4663-nucleotide long non-coding RNA. NCBI's taxonomy places the organism in Eukaryota, Metazoa, Chordata, Mammalia, Rodentia, Bathyergidae. The record is from Ensembl.